Molecule: ribosomal RNA, 581 nt
Filed under: uncultured Paracoccaceae bacterium
Lineage: Bacteria; Pseudomonadati; Pseudomonadota; Alphaproteobacteria; Rhodobacterales; Paracoccaceae
Description: bacterial SSU rRNA
Rfam family: Bacterial small subunit ribosomal RNA
Source: RNAcentral
ACUUAUCCUGCAGUCGAGAUUCCUACGGGAGGCAGCAGUGGGGAAUCUUAGACAAUGGGGGAAACCCUGAUCUAGCCAUGCCGCGUGAGUGAUGAAGGCCUUAGGGUCGUAAAGCUCUUUCGCCAGGGAUGAUAAUGACAGUACCUGGUAAAGAAACCCCGGCUAACUCCGUGCCAGCAGCCGCGGUAAUACGGAGGGGGUUAGCGUUGUUCGGAAUUACUGGGCGUAAAGCGCGCGUAGGCGGAUUAGUCAGUCAGAGGUGAAAUCCCAGGGCUCAACCCUGGAACUGCCUUUGAUACUGCUAGUCUAGAGUUCGAGAGAGGUGAGUGGAAUUCCGAGUGUAGAGGUGAAAUUCGUAGAUAUUCGGAGGAACACCAGUGGCGAAGGCGGCUCACUGGCUCGAUACUGACGCUGAGGUGCGAAAGUGUGGGGAGCAAACAGGAUUAGAUACCCUGGUAGUCCACACCGUAAACGAUGAAUGCCAGUCGUCGGCAAGUAUACUUGUCGGUGACACACCUAACGGAUUAAGCAUUCCGCCUGGGGAGUACGGUCGCAAGAUUAAAACUCAAAUGAAUUGACGG